Long non-coding RNA from Acanthochromis polyacanthus (spiny chromis), 877 nucleotides. RefSeq lists it as uncharacterized. The record is from RefSeq and is a predicted model, not a curated record. NCBI's taxonomy places the organism in Eukaryota, Metazoa, Chordata, Actinopteri, Pomacentridae. The transcript has 2 exons.
CCAGUGGUUAUCUAGACAGCUUGUUAUUCAGUGUUAAUGGGUACACUGUCUCUUUAAGAGUCACAACAGUAAGCUCUGCUUUACGGCUGUAGAGCAGUGAUCUCGGAGCGGGAACGUUCGCGGGUAGAACUUGAAUUAUGCUGAGAGGGGAGAAGACAUUGCUGAGCUGUAGCCAGUUUGUACUAGCCGUCCUGCAUAUCAAGUCACUGCUUAUAUGUUUUUCCUGCUAGUGGACCGUGAGGCUAGUUAGCGAUCUGCUAACAUUCGUGGAGUGCACGGUGUGGGAGGACUGGAGUCAGGCAGAGAUAACUGUGUUCCAGGACUUGUCGCCAGCCAUCACCCAGCUCUGCUCGUGGAUAACUUGAGUAUCAGAAACAAAACUUUCUUUUCUAUAGAGCUCUAUAGUAUUUUUUUGGGUACCCAAAUUUGGUUUCCUUUGUGGAGAGUUUUCUUUUGGAUUCAGAAAUACCAUAUGGUGGAUCACCACAAGAUUUGUGGAGGAGUGACUGUUCAUUAUUCUGGACUAAAAAGACUGAUUUAAUUUUUUUUUUUUUGAUGAACAUUGAGACUGAUUGAAAGAGAUAUUUUACAAAGUUUCAACUUGGAAUAUUUCAUUUAUAUUGUUGGCAACUGAUUGUGUUAAAGGACUAAGUUAGAUCAUUUAUAUUGGAGCUGAAGAGAAUUUAUUUCAUUUUUUUUUGUUUUGUUGUUGUUGUGCUUGUGUCAUUUAAGAAAAAAAAAAAACAUAAUUUGAGGUAAACAGACCUGAUUUAAAGGAAGGGUACGUUCCAGUCCAUGAAAUAUUUUAUUUUAUUUUAUUGGACUUAGGCAGCAUACUACUGCUAGACCCAGAAUAAAUUCCUGCCAAGUUCAUGAA